Molecule: long non-coding RNA, 927 nt
Filed under: Homo sapiens (human)
Lineage: Eukaryota; Metazoa; Chordata; Mammalia; Primates; Hominidae
Description: novel transcript
Source: RNAcentral
UUCACAGGCAUUUCAGUGACUACAACAGUGAGUAUUUAGGCAAUACAUAAUUAUGAAUGUUAAAUAUAUGAGGGUCAAGAGUGUUAAAUAUAUGAGGGUCAAGUGGUCCUCUUGCCCACAUUAGGGUGGUGUGGGGGACAAUAGCUGUCUUCCCGUAAGUGAAAAGUUGUGAAGUAGAAAAAUAUAGCUCAGUAUGGCUCAAUACAGUGCACCAGGAAGGGAUGGUAGAAAUGUGUAAAAACCAUGGUAAUUGAGAGUCUAUGAUUUGACUUUGGAUUUUUAUUUACUUACAACAGUGAUUAGAGUUAUAAGAAAUAUCCUAUCUAUAUUUUGUAGUAGUGACAUUUGCUUUAUGCUUCUGGAAGCAAAGCAGAAAUCAUGCCCUGUUUGUUUCCAUCAUGAUGAAGCACCUUGUACCCUAAGAUUAACCAAAAAUAACAGCGUUACCCUGUCAAUUUCUGGUCCCAAAAUAAUGAAACAUUGAGUAUUUCUUAUAAUCCCAGAUCCCCAGCAAACACCAUUUUAUUCUUGACUUUUAUUUAGCUCAUGUUGCAAGAUCUUUCUGAAUAUGAUCAUCAUGUGAUAAGAUUUUGUUUUUUCUCCAUGAACAAAUUAAUGCAAACUUAGUAAUCAUGGUAAUCUUCUUUAUAUUUUUCUUUAAAUACCUGUUAUAUUUUUCACUUGCUUAUCCAGUUUUUCUGAAGUCUGACUCCCUUGAACCUUUUCAAGUAAACUCUUUUUCUUUUCAAAAUGCUUUGGCUCUGACUCUUCCUUUGAAAUUUUUGGGGAAAAAAUGUUCUCUGAUCUUAAAAGGGAUUGUAAGAAAACAUGAAAAGCCUCUCACUGUUGUUGAUGUUUCAUUAAUUUGUUGCUCUGUUUGGCACUGUCAAUUUAAAAUAAAUUUCUAUGCCUCUUUCAGCAAUCAAA